Ziziphus jujuba (common jujube) is the source of this 498-nucleotide long non-coding RNA. RefSeq lists it as uncharacterized. The transcript is spliced from 4 exons. Lineage: Eukaryota; Viridiplantae; Streptophyta; Magnoliopsida; Rosales; Rhamnaceae. The record is from RefSeq and is a predicted model, not a curated record.
CCAAUUGGAAAGAUUGUUUGUUUAUUGCGUUGCGUGUUAGGGUUGGGUUUCUUGGGGAAUUUUUCGUUUCGUUCUGCGAUUCGGAGCAGGACCAAGCCCUAGCCCUCAAUCCCAACUUAGAGCCAUGUCGUCCAAGCAAGGUGGAAAGGCAAAGCCUCUCAAGCAACCAAAGGCUGACAAGAAAGAAUACGACGAGGUUGAUAUGGCUAACAUUCAGAAGAAGAAGGAAGAAGAGAAGGCACUGAAGGAGCUUAAAGCCAAGGCACAACAGAAGGGAUCCUUUGGAGGUUCUGGGCUUAAGAAGAGUGGAAAGAAAUGAGGGGUUUUCAAAGCUUAAUCCGAAUGCAAAAAUAUGAUUGUUGAGCUGUACCUAUCAAAACAUUACUUAUGAGAUCCUCUAUUGUGAUGCUUCUGUUUGUGAGCAAAUUUGCUGUUUGCUUUUUUAAGUCGAUGUUAGUGUGUAAGACUUAAUAAACGAAGUUGGAUGUUUUGUUUUCA